RNAcentral lists this non-coding RNA (27 nucleotides) under Rattus norvegicus (Norway rat). Lineage: Eukaryota; Metazoa; Chordata; Mammalia; Rodentia; Muridae. The record is from RNAcentral.
UGCUUCUCCAGUGUAUUUUGGGACUUC